AGGGAAACCGAGUCUUAACUGGGCGUUAAGUUGCAGGGUAUAGACCCGAAACCCGGUGAUCUAGCCAUGGGCAGGUUGAAGGUUGGGUAACACUAACUGGAGGACCGAACCGACUAAUGUUGAAAAAUUAGCGGAUGACUUGUGGCUGGGGGUGAAAGGCCAAUCAAACCGGGAGAUAGCUGGUUCUCCCCGAAAGCUAUUUAGGUAGCGCCUCGUGAACUCAUCUUCGGGGGUAGAGCACUGUUUCGGCUAGGGGGUCAUCCCGACUUACCAACCCGAUGCAAACUGCGAAUACCGAAGAAUGUUAUCACGGGAGACACACGGCGGGUGCUAACGUCCGUCGUGAAGAGGGAAACAACCCAGACCGCCAGCUAAGGUCCCAAAGUCACAGUUAAGUGGGAAACGAUGUGGGAAGGCUCAGACAGCCAGGAUGUUGGCUUAGAAGCAGCCAUCAUUUAAAGAAAGCGUAAUAGCUCACUGGUCGAGUCGGCCUGCGCGGAAGAUGUAACGGGGCUAAACUGUGCACCGAAGCUGCGGCAGCGACGCUUAUGCGUUGUUGGGUAGGGGAGCGUUCUGUAAGCCUGCGAAGGUGUCCUGUGAGGGAUGCUGGAGGUAUCAGAAGUGCGAAUGCUGACAUAAGUAACGAUAAUGCGGGUGAAAAGCCCGCUCGCCGGAAGACCAAGGGUUCCUGUCCAACGUUAAUCGGGGCAGGGUGAGUCGACCCCUAAGGCGAGGCCGAAAGGCGUAGUCGAUGGGAAACGGGUUAAUAUUCCCGUACUUGGUGUUACUGCGAAGGGGGGACGGAGAAGGCUAUGUUGGCCGGGCGACGGUU
This 832-nucleotide ribosomal RNA is filed under the name Salmonella enterica subsp. enterica serovar Kentucky. RNAcentral's name for it is "partial 23S ribosomal RNA". It matches the Rfam family "Bacterial large subunit ribosomal RNA", at positions 670 to 1503 of the family's 2925-position model. The record is from RNAcentral. Lineage: Bacteria; Pseudomonadati; Pseudomonadota; Gammaproteobacteria; Enterobacterales; Enterobacteriaceae.